GUAGUCCACGCUGUAAACGAUGGGUACUAGGCUUGGUGGGUCUUGACCCCCGCUGAGCCGGAGCUAACGCACUAAGUACCCCGCCUGGGAAGUACGGUCGCAAGACUAAAACUCAAAGGAAUUGACGGGGGCCCGCACAAGCGGUGGAUCAUGUGGUUUAAUUCGAAGCAACGCGAAGAACCUUACCUGGGUUUGACAUCCUUUGACAUCCGUAGAGAUACGGCCUCGAUAGCAAUAUCGCAAAGUGACAGGUGCUGCAUGGCUGUCGUCAGCUCGUGUGGUGACAUGUUGGGUUAAGUCCCGCAACGAGCGCAACCCUUGUCUUUAGUUGCCAGCAUUCAGUUGGGCACUCUAAAGAGACUGCCGUGGUUAACACGGA
Molecule: ribosomal RNA, 379 nt
Filed under: uncultured bacterium
Lineage: Bacteria
Description: bacterial SSU rRNA
Rfam family: Bacterial small subunit ribosomal RNA
Source: RNAcentral